Molecule: non-coding RNA, 208 nt
Organism: Pelobates cultripes (western spadefoot toad)
Lineage: Eukaryota; Metazoa; Chordata; Amphibia; Anura; Pelobatidae
Source: the annotation of a GenBank genome assembly
CACUACAUCCACUGCAUCCACUAAACACAUUGCUUCUAGUACACACAAACACUACAUCCACUACACAAACACACACUACAUCCACUACUCAAACACACUCUGCGUUCACUAUACACACUGCAUCCGCUACACAAACACACACUCUGCAUUCACUGCACAAACAGUAUCUAAUACACACAAACACUACAUCCAUUACACACAUUCUAAU